Molecule: ribosomal RNA, 492 nt
Filed under: uncultured bacterium
Lineage: Bacteria
Description: partial 16S ribosomal RNA
Rfam family: Bacterial small subunit ribosomal RNA
Source: RNAcentral
AGUGAACGCUGGCGGUAGGCCUAACACAUGCAAGUCGAACGGCAGCACAGUAAGAGCUUGCUCUUACGGGUGGCGAGUGGCGGACGGGUGAGGAAUACAUCGGAAUCUACUUUUUCGUGGGGGAUAACGUAGGGAAACUUACGCUAAUACCGCAUACGACCUACGGGUGAAAGCAGGGGAUCUUCGGACCUUGCGCGAUUGAAUGAGCCGAUGUCGGAUUAGCUAGUUGGCGGGGUAAAGGCCCACCAAGGCGACGAUCCGUAGCUGGUCUGAGAGGAUGAUCAGCUACACUGGAACUGAGACACGGUCCAGACUCCUACGGGAGGCAGCAGUGGGGAAUAUUGGACAAUGGGCGCAAGCCUGAUCCAGCCAUACCGCGUGGGUGAAGAAGGCCUUCGGGUUGUAAAGCCCUUUUGUUGGGAAAGAAAAGCAGCAGGUUAAUACCCCGCUGUUCUGACGGUACCCAAAGAAUAAGCACCAGCUAACUUCGUG